Triticum aestivum (bread wheat) is the source of this 122-nucleotide non-coding RNA. The record is from Rfam. NCBI's taxonomy places the organism in Eukaryota, Viridiplantae, Streptophyta, Magnoliopsida, Poales, Poaceae.
CUAGUACUCCCUCCGUCCGAAAAUACUUGUCAUUGAAAUGGUAUCUAGAUGCAUUUUAGUUUUAGAUACAUCCAUUUUCAUCCAUUUUGAUGACAAGUAUUUCCGGACGGAGGGAGUAUGUA